UGUUCCGUGGUGUAGUGGUGAGCGCUCUGGGCUCUGAAUCCAGCGAUCCAGGUUCAAAUCUCGGUGGAAUAU
RNAcentral lists this transfer RNA (72 nucleotides) under Bos taurus (domestic cattle). It matches the Rfam family "tRNA". Rfam says of the family: Transfer RNA (tRNA) molecules are approximately 80 nucleotides in length. Their secondary structure includes four short double-helical elements and three loops (D, anti-codon, and T loops). Further hydrogen bonds mediate the characteristic L-shaped molecular structure. tRNAs have two regions of fundamental functional importance: the anti-codon, which is responsible for specific mRNA codon recognition, and the 3' end, to which the tRNAs corresponding amino acid is attached (by aminoacyl-tRNA synthetases). tRNAs cope with the degeneracy of the genetic code in two manners: having more than one tRNA (with a specific anti-codon) for a particular amino acid; and 'wobble' base-pairing, i.e. permitting non-standard base-pairing at the 3rd anti-codon position. RNAcentral also lists the same sequence under 3 other names. Lineage: Eukaryota; Metazoa; Chordata; Mammalia; Artiodactyla; Bovidae. The record is from Rfam by way of RNAcentral.